GAUGAACGCUGGCGGCGUGCCUAAUACAUGCAAGUCGAGCGAACAGAUGAGGAGCUUGCUCCUCUGACGUUAGCGGCGGACGGGUGAGUAACACGUGGAUAACCUACCUAUAAGACUGGGAUAACUUCGGGAAACCGGAUCUAAUACCGGAUAAUAUAUUGAACCGCAUGGUUCAAUAGUGAAAGACGGUUUUGCUGUCACUUAUAGAUGGAUCCGCGCCGCAUUAGCUAGUUGGUAAGGUAACGGCUUACCAAGGCAACGAUGCGUAGCCGACCUGAGAGGGUGAUCGGCCACACUGGAACUGAGACACGGUCCAGACUCCUACGGGAGGCAGCAGUAGGGAAUCUUCCGCAAUGGGCGAAAGCCUGAAGGAGCAACGCCGCGUGAGUGAUGAAGGUCUUCGGAUCGUAAAACUCUGUUAUUAGGGAAGAACAAAUGUGUAAGUAACUAUGCACGUCUUGACGGUACCUAAUCAGAAAGCCACGGCUAACUACGUG
RNAcentral lists this ribosomal RNA (497 nucleotides) under uncultured bacterium. Its description in RNAcentral is "partial 16S ribosomal RNA". It matches the Rfam family "Bacterial small subunit ribosomal RNA", at positions 28 to 507 of the family's 1533-position model. The record is from RNAcentral.